RNAcentral lists this ribosomal RNA (450 nucleotides) under uncultured bacterium. RNAcentral describes it as "partial 16S ribosomal RNA". It matches the Rfam family "Bacterial small subunit ribosomal RNA", at positions 354 to 796 of the family's 1533-position model. The record is from RNAcentral.
GUGGGGAAUCUUCCGCAAUGGACGAAAGUCUGACGGAGCAACGCCGCGUGAGUGAUGAAGGUCUUCGGAUUGUAAAGCUCUGUUAAUCGGGACGAAAGAGCCUAGUGUGAAUAAUGCUAGGAAGUGACGGUACCGGAAUAGAAAGCCACGGCUAACUACGUGCCAGCAGCCGCGGUAAUACGUAGGUGGCAAGCGUUGUCCGGAAUUAUUGGGCGUAAAGCGCGCGCAGGCGGAUCUGCCAGUCUGUCUUAAAAGUUCGGGGCUUAAACCCGUGAUGGGAUGGAAACUACAGAUCUAGAGUAUCGGAGAGGAAAGUGGAAUUCCUGGUGUAGCGGUGAAAUGCGUAGAUAUUAGGAAGAACACCAGUGGCGAAGGCGACUUUCUGGACGAAAACUGACGCUGAGGCGCGAAAGCCAGGGGAGCGAACGGGAUUAGAUACCCGAGUAGUCC